Molecule: long non-coding RNA, 5086 nt
Organism: Gasterosteus aculeatus aculeatus (three-spined stickleback)
Lineage: Eukaryota; Metazoa; Chordata; Actinopteri; Perciformes; Gasterosteidae
Source: Ensembl
CGGCAACACAGAGUGUAGAAGACAUUUUAGAGGCACAGAGGAAGUAAAGUAAAUGGAAAGAUGCCAGAAAACAUACACACGCUGAGGGAUGUUUUACGUUAUCUGUAGCAAUGAGAGGGCGGUUUGGGUUUGAGUUCCUGCCAAACUUGAGCCUCCACACACAGCUCCCCAAGCAGCAGCUGCUCAAACUGAUUGCAGCACAAAACAGCUGACUUUGAACUUCCAGACCUUUUCGUCAACACUGGAACAGCUGCGGCUGAAAAGAAUGAAAGUCCUGUACCCGUCGUCCAGCUGGCUAGCGGUGUAAACUUUUCCUAAUACGGUGAGCGUGACGGAGUUAUCCGUGUGUCUCCUGAUGCUCUUGUGCUUCAUGUCCCUUACUCCCGAACAUGUCCCACUGGAUCUGUCCCCGUUGAUUUAAAAACCAAGUAUGGGAAUCAAAAGGUGGUGUUAGCACGAAUGCAUCCAGCUAGCUAAACCUUCCCGUGUAGCAUCUCUACAGAAGCUUUUGCAUGUGUGACUUCCCUUUCACGCCAGUCCGUUUUUUCGCCAGAGUUCUUCUGUCAAACGAGUCUUGGAGGACAGAUUUGACCAAGUUUCGGUUGGCUCGCCAUUGUCAUGCCAAUAAAACGGUGCCUCGCAACACUUGCCCUGACGAGAGCGCAGCCUUGAGGCCAAACAACGAAGGCUGAAUCUAUUUUAGGAAGCUGAUUGGCUAAAUGAUGUAUCACACAUUUAUAUCUGUAAUCAGUAAUUGGCUAAACUGCUUGUUAAACCCGCCUCCUUUGGGUCUGGGCCGAGCCCAGCUGAGACAUGGUGACAGGCGCAGAGGAGGUGCAGGAAAAGCCUAUAUUUGGUACAGAUAUCUUAUUUGACAAAAACGACUGGGUAUAGUCCAUAUUUCAGAAACACAAAUACACAAAUAUUGACAAUUUAUCAGAUGUAUUAUUAAUAUUAUUUUUUUGGGCUCAAGGUGGGGCCAGGCCCCAUGGCCCUCUAUGGGCCAGCCGCCACCGUUUAAAGGAUAUAAUCAUAUUAUUAGCUGGAAAUGUAAAAACAGAAACACUGGAACUCUCUUCUUGGCAGAAUAGAUGAGGCUUUUGUAUUCCAAAAUACCUCAGUAUUGUUUAGUAUAUUUUAAAUUUCAUUAAUAAUAAACAGGCUUAUCCGUCAGCCUGAGGCUGUAGCUGGCGGUCAGUCAGGCUCCAAUCAGUGAGGUCAAAUCAGGAGCGCUCAGUAAAUCGAACCAGCUGGCAUAGUGGGGAAAAGAGAAGUUACAGCAAAUUAAAACUGACUCGCCAGAGCAUUGUUAUUCUGUGUAGAGAAGGUUGAGAGGGGACACGGUGCCAUGCUGGAUAGCAGUAUGUACAACCCCAAUGUUCUACUAGAUCUGGAAUAUUGUCAUUUUAGGGAAUAUUAGUGUGCAUGUACUGUAUUACUGUAAAUGUCAUAAAUGAGUCUGUAAUGCACUAUAUUCAAUGACUGAAUUACAUGCGCAUUGUUUUUCCUGAGAAUGCUUUAUAAAAUACAUUUUCAUUUCUUGAAAAGUAAUUAUAACUUAAAUUGAAUUACUGCUUUUGUAACCUGGUCUUAAAUCUUAAAUGUUCCUUUGAGAAAAUUGAUAACUUCCUUAUUCCUAAUCUGACCAUUCUACCGUACAUUGUACAUCAAUCAACAGCAUUAUAGAUGUUGGGACUAGACUCUUGUAGGUUUUAGUCAUUUGUGCUCUGUCUCCAUGCCGCUCCAGCAGGAUGUCAGUCCAACAAUAAUAAAUCCUUGAAGACACCAAGACACUCAGUCCUACUACACACUGCAGGAGGAAGUACUGUAGUUCUGGAUACAGAUUCCAGUCCACAACAAUUUCAUUUUUGUUUACGGCAUCAACAAUCUACUCCGAUCCGAUGGCAAUAUUUACUUCAAUGUUUAUGCAUAUCCAUUUCCUGAGAUGUAACCAAUGAUGCCUUGGAGUACGUGGGUGAACUUGCCUUGGUGGGUUUCUCUUGUCUUGUUUGGAGGCGAGAGGGCAGAGCCUUGGGAGUUAAAAUAUAAUAUAAAUUUCAACUCCAAUAAGCUGCAGCUGUAUUUCCCCUCCAGCAAUUCAAUUUAGUAUCUCAGACCCUUAUGGUGUUCGGUAGAUGACGGUCUUUAGUAGAAAACAUGUCUCUUUGUGACCGCCUGUGUUUAUGUCUGUUGAUUUGCUGUCAAAUUAGUCUUUUACCAUAUUUUCACUUUGUCCUCUUUUCAUGUCGAGCGGCAGGAGCUGUGAUGGUUCGGACUGUCGCCUCGCAGCAAGGAGUUCCUUAACCACCCAGCGGCCUUUCUGUGUGGAGUCUGCAUGUUCUCCCCGUGUCGGCGUGGUUUCUCUGCGGGUACCCCGACUUCCUUCCACAGUCUAAAGACAUGCUGCGGGUGUCGUGUUAAUGAGCCGUAGGAAGAGUUGGUGGCUCUAAAAAGAAAUAAAUGUCAUGAGAUCCUACAAAUCCUCAGGAUUCAUCCUCUGAGCCUUAAAGAUAUCUGUAACUAUUUAAGUGCCCUUAAAUGGGAGAUGAGAUAUCUGAGUGUGGUCAGAAUCUUUGGUCCAAACUUCAUUGCCGUCCUCAGAGCUGCACUUCUCAACAAACAUGCUCUCCAGGAAUAACAGCACACCCAUCUUCCCCCUGGGGCCAACGCAAUCUUUUAAAGGUCACGCCGGCGUAUAACGCAGGGAGACGGUGAAUAAGGGGGGAGGGGAGAGAGAAUUAUUGGACUGAUCAGGGGUUGGGGGGGUUAAGAAGAGGGGAGUAAAGGCAACCAGUGAGUAAAGAAGAACCUCAUAGCAAACCGCAAUCAUCCCUCUGCCUUCAAGGUCGGGUGGGGGAGGACAGAUUAUCUUUCCGUCGAGGUUGGAAAUAGUUCAGCGCGAGAGGAUGGGGGAGAAGGGGAAGAAUGGAGGAGGAGGAGGAGAGGAUUGUAAAGCAGCAGGAAGGAGGCGGGUUGUAAUGUUGUUAAAAGGAAAGAGAGGAGCAGAGAGGUGCAUAACGGCAGUCAAUGCUGUUUUCCUCAGAAUGGGAGCAAAGAGGGAGAACACAGAGAUUGGGGAACAAAAGAAGAACAAGUAAAACAGAGACCAGGGAGGAAAAAAGGAGGAAAAGAGUGCAGACAGAAGUAUUGAAAAGGAGAUUCUACUGAUUUUAAUUCUGCACAAAGAAGGGAGGAUUCAUUGUGCCGGCUGUUAAAAAACACAAGAUCUGCUCGGUGAAGCGCGAUGCUUGCCAGGAGAUCACAGCCUCUCUCUCUCUUUCCCUCUCACUCUCCCUCUCUCUCCCUGCCUCAAAUGCUCGACUGCUUAACACCAAAAUCACAUAUGGACUCAUUUGUGUAGAAGGUGCAUCAAAGCAAGUAUCCCACAAGAAUCAGAUGAAGAAAAAGCAAGUGGCUGUGGGUCGUGCUGUUACAGCAGAGAUUAACUUCUCACUAUCCGUGAAUCCACAAGUUGAUUCGGUCAAACUCUAUCUGUCCUCCCCCUGGAGUUGUUUUGGUUUCAUUAUCCGUAAAGCAUUUAGUCCCCCACACCCACCACACAAUUUUUUUUCAAAGCCACAUUAAGAAACGGAAGACGCUGGCCAGGAAGCAAUCCUUCAGAGACGUGUCACUUCUCUAACAGUCCUCUCGCGUGAUCCACAGCUCAGCUCAAAGAGAGCAGCGAAUGUGCCACCGCGGCACCAAGACGUCCCUUCGCACUCAGCGGAGCCUCCUUGCUGCCUCGGGUUUCUUCAUCAUGGGUUUCUUACGAGAGGGAAACACCUGAACACAACACUGUCCUGCUAGAACUUCACUGGACCGCUCCGAGGGGAACCGCAUGCAGCCCUGCAGCAGCCCCUCUGGCUCAGUGAGGACCGCGUCGAUGUGUCCUUGGGCAGCACACUUGACCCCUGUGUCCUCGAGCCGGGUGUGUGAAUGCCGUGGGUGUUAAUAACUGGGCUAUACACCUGCCACGGUGUUUGAGUGGGCCAUGUUCCCGUACACUCCAUCCACCAUUUACAAACUAAAAACUGCUGUGUGUGAAAUACUUCCCUCAUAAUAUGGGUCAUUUCAGAUAUGGAGAACAGUAUAUUUUCUGGCAAUUCAAUUCAAGUGCAUUUUCUUGUUGUUUUUAUUGCUUUUUUUUAAAUACUUGACGAAUGAAAAGUGUUUUCUCAUUUAAUUACAAAAACAUAUUUAUUGUUAUACAUUGGCGAUGUAUGAGUUCAUCACGAUGUGCUUCCAUUGAAAGACGAUAAAUCCCCACAUUGACUAUCACAGCGCUCUGCACGGCUCCAGAACCUUUUCCUGUCAGGUCCCGUGCACCCAGCGCGAUGAAGCAGAGGGGCUCAGUGACACGGGCGGCUGAUUCAGUUCAGUACAGUCUCAUGAUUUAUUAAUUGUACGCGGUCAAAACCCCUGGAGCUGUGGCAGACACAUAAGUGUUCGCUGUCCUGUGCAGUCAGCGGUUCCAGCUCACCACGGCCCCCUUCUAAUGCAAUCCAACAAGUUAAUGGGAGGAACAACCAAAGAGUGAGAAACGUCACGCUGUGUGAAGAACGUCAGCGACGUCCGACGCGUAGGAGACAAACGGAGUUCAGAUGCAGGGGAAAGAGCCCAGAUGUUCUCACACUGCAUGUUUGGACUGUUUCUGUGACGGCUUAAGACCCCUCUGACGGCACUUGAUUAUGUGCAGUAAGAGCUGUUCUGCUCACUUACUGUGGUGUAUUUUAUCCGGGCCGUAAAAAAACAUAAACACAAGCGAUGCGUGACUGAAUGUGAUGGGAUGUGAUUAUACGGACAAACUGACCUGAUGAACCCACCGCCAGGAACACUAACGGAAACCGGAAAACUACAGGAAAUGUAGAUAGAUGGAUGGGUGUGAGACUGAUUGAUUGAUUUAGGGACUACUAUAGGUAGAUAAAUAGACAGACAGAUCAAGGUACUAGUUUUUUCAUCUCUUUUAUAUUUAUGCAGUGACAUAUAUCGAAUAGUAAAAACAGAAGAUUCGCUUUUUAUGAUCUGUUAAGGUAUUCGGGCCUUCUAGGAUAUAACUACCACAAAUUGUGCAAGAUUAUAAUUAAAU